Long non-coding RNA from Callithrix jacchus (white-tufted-ear marmoset), 724 nucleotides. NCBI's taxonomy places the organism in Eukaryota, Metazoa, Chordata, Mammalia, Primates, Cebidae. The record is from Ensembl.
UUUUAAAUGACAUUAAAGGUGCAUAUACUUAAUAGUAUUAAAUUUUUUUUUUUUCAAAUCAGAGGAAAGCUAUGAUAAAAUGGCGCCAGAAUUCAAGAAUGAAAGGGAAAAGACCACAUUAUUUUAAAUUAACCUGGCCAAGGGGAAGCACUUUCACAUUGUUGACCAGUAAAGAGUUUUUGGUAAGUAAUAACAUUUAAAUUGUGGGAAUAAUUUUACAAAGACAUAAUUUUUUGUAUCAUCUAUGACCUGUGUUACAAACAGAUAGCAGAUAGAUGAAGUUGAUGAAUGAAAUUCCAAGAAUAUAUUAUGAAAUGAAAAUUUUAAAAGUAGAUGCUUUAAAGUUAAAAAUGUGGCUCAUAUAUUAAAGUUGGGGAAAAACACAUGGAAAUAUUUAGCUGUACUUGUUUCUCAUGGAGACUAUGGUGCAUAUACAGUCAAUUUACUUACACUAAAAAUACUUUUACCACUGAUAACUCAGGGAGAAGGCUGCCAUUUUUGUAGAUAAAAUCUAUCUCUUAGUGGAAUUGGGAAAUAAGUGUCUCUUACCCACUUGAGCUCAUGUGCACUUCCUCCAAUGUGAUUUAAAUGGUCUGAAAGUUACAGAGGUAGAUUUGUAGAGAAGCUAAUAACACUGAAGUAGCAUGUCCCAUCAUUUGUAUGCACUCUAUCCCUGGAAGGAUUCCUAACGUGCUCAUACAUAUUAUUUUAAUUUAUGGGGAAA